RNAcentral lists this ribosomal RNA (437 nucleotides) under uncultured Clostridiales Family IV bacterium. RNAcentral's name for it is "bacterial SSU rRNA". It matches the Rfam family "Bacterial small subunit ribosomal RNA", at positions 341 to 792 of the family's 1533-position model. Lineage: Bacteria; Bacillati; Bacillota; Clostridia; Eubacteriales; Eubacteriales Family IV. Incertae Sedis. The record is from RNAcentral.
ACGGAAGGCAGCAGUGGGGGAUAUUGCACAAUGGAGGAAACUCUGAUGCAGCAACGCCGCGUGAGGGAAGAAGGUUUUCGGAUUGUAAACCUCUGUUAUUAGUGAAGAAACAAAUGACGGUAGCUAAUGAGGAAGCCACGGCUAACUACGUGCCAGCAGCCGCGGUAAUACGUAGGUGGCAAGCGUUGUCCGGAAUUACUGGGUGUAAAGGGUGCGCAGGCGGGACUGUAAGUUGGAUGUGAAAUACCGUGGCUUAACCACGGAGCUGCAUCCAAAACUGCGGUUCUUGAGUGAAGUAGAGGUAGGCGGAAUUCCGAGUGUAGCGGUGAAAUGCGUAGAUAUUAGGAGGAACACCAGUGGCGAAGGCGGCUUACCGGACGGUAAAUGACGCUCAGGCUCGAAAGCGUGGGGAGCAAACAGGAUUAGAUACCCUGGUA